GAGUUUGAUCUUGGCUCAGAUUGAACGCUGGCGGCAUGCCUUACACAUGCAAGUCGAACGGCAGCACGGGAGCUUGCUCCUGGUGGCGAGUGGCGAACGGGUGAGUAAUGCAUCGGAACGUAUCCUGGAGUGGGGGAUAACGUAGCGAAAGUUACGCUAAUACCGCAUAUUCUGUGAGCAGGAAAGCAGGGGACCUUCGGGCCUUGCGCUAUCAGAUGAGCCUAGGUCGGAUUAGCUAGUUGGUGGGGUAAUGGCUCACCAAGGCGACGAUCCGUAACUGGUCUGAGAGGAUGAUCAGUCACACUGGAACUGAGACACGGUCCAGACUCCUACGGGAGGCAGCAGUGGGGAAUAUUGGACAAUGGGCGAAAGCCUGAUCCAGCCAUGCCGCGUGUGUGAAGAAGGUCUUCGGAUUGUAAAGCACUUUAAGUUGGAGGAAGGGCAGUAAGUUAAUACCUUGCUGUUUUGAGUUACCGACAGAAUAAGCA
This 488-nucleotide ribosomal RNA is filed under the name bacterium enrichment culture clone ALO1_GLFRUDD03F0Y1A. RNAcentral describes it as "bacterial SSU rRNA". It matches the Rfam family "Bacterial small subunit ribosomal RNA", at positions 9 to 492 of the family's 1533-position model. The record is from RNAcentral.